This 259-nucleotide ribosomal RNA is filed under the name uncultured bacterium. RNAcentral describes it as "partial 16S ribosomal RNA". It matches the Rfam family "Bacterial small subunit ribosomal RNA", at positions 793 to 1055 of the family's 1533-position model. The record is from RNAcentral.
GUCCACGCCCUAAACGAUGUCAACUGGUUGUUGGGUCUUCACUGACUCAGUAACGAAGCUAACGCGUGAAGUUGACCGCCUGGGAGUACGGCCGCAAGGUUGAACUCAAAGGAAUUGACGGGACCCGCACAAGCGGUGGAUGAUGUGGUUUAAUUCGAUGCAACGCGAAACCUUACCCACCUUUGACAUGUACGGAACUCGCCAGAGAUGGCUUGGUGCUCGAAAGAGAACCGUAACACAGGUGCUGCAUGGCUGUCGU